AGUGAACGCUGGCGGUAGGCCUAACACAUGUAAGUCGAACGGCAGCACAGUAAGAGCUUGCUCUUACGGGUGGCGAGUGGCGGACGGGUGAGGAAUACAUCGGAAUCUACUUUUUCGUGGGGGAUAACGUAGGGAAACUUACGCUAAUACCGCAUACGACCUACGGGUGAAAGCAGGGGAUCUUCGUACCUUGCGCGAUUGAAUGAGCCGAUGUCGGAUUAGCUAGUUGGCGGGGUAAAGGCCCACCAAGGCGACGAUCCGUAGCUGGUCUGAGAGGAUGAUCAGCCACAAUGGAACUGAGACACGGUCCAGACUCCUACGGGAGGCAGCAGUGGGGAAUAUUGGACAAAGGGCGCAAGCCUGAUCCAGCCAUACCGAGUGGGUGAAGAAGGCCUUCGGGUUGUAAAGCCCUUUUGUUGGGAAAGAAAAGCAGCAGGUUAAUACCCCGCUGUUCUGACGGUACCCAAAGAAUAAGCACCGGCUAACUUCGUG
Molecule: ribosomal RNA, 492 nt
Filed under: uncultured bacterium
Lineage: Bacteria
Description: partial 16S ribosomal RNA
Rfam family: Bacterial small subunit ribosomal RNA
Source: RNAcentral